RNAcentral lists this ribosomal RNA (312 nucleotides) under uncultured bacterium. Its description in RNAcentral is "bacterial SSU rRNA". It matches the Rfam family "Bacterial small subunit ribosomal RNA", at positions 28 to 330 of the family's 1533-position model. The record is from RNAcentral.
GAUGAACGCUGGCGGCAUGCCUAAUACAUGCAAGUCGAAACGAGAGGAAGGAAAGCUUGCUUUCCUGAAUCUAGUGGCGAACGGGUGAGUAACACGUAGGUAACCUGCCCAUGUGCCCGGGAUAACUUCUGGAAACGGAUGCUAAAACCGGAUAGGUAGCAGACAAGCAUUUGACUGCUAUUAAAGUGCCUUGGCCAUGAACAUGGAUGGACCUGCGGUGCAUUAGCUAGUUGGUAAGGUAACGGCUUACCAAGGCGACGAUCAGUAGCCGACCUGAGAGGGUGAUCGGCCACAUUGGAACUGAGACACGGU